This 713-nucleotide ribosomal RNA is filed under the name uncultured bacterium. RNAcentral describes it as "bacterial SSU rRNA". It matches the Rfam family "Bacterial small subunit ribosomal RNA", at positions 94 to 801 of the family's 1533-position model. The record is from RNAcentral.
AGCGGCGGACGGGUGAGUAAUGCUUAGGAAUCUGCCUAUUAGUGGGGGACAACAUUCCGAAAGGGAUGCUAAUACCGCAUACGUCCUACGGGAGAAAGCAGGGGCUCUUUAUGACCUUGCGCUAAUAGAUGAGCCUAAGUCGGAUUAGCUAGUUGGUGGGGUAAAGGCCUACCAAGGCGACGAUCUGUAGCGGGUCUGAGAGGAUGAUCCGCCACACUGGGACUGAGACACGGCCCAGACUCCUACGGGAGGCAGCAGUGGGGAAUAUUGGACAAUGGGGGGAACCCUGAUCCAGCCAUGCCGCGUGUGUGAAGAAGGCCUUUUGGUUGUAAAGCACUUUAAGUGGGGAGGAGGCUUACCUGGUUAAUACCUGGGCUAAGUGGACGUUACCCACAGAAUAAGCACCGGCUAACUCUGUGCCAGCAGCCGCGGUAAUACAGAGGGUGCGAGCGUUAAUCGGAUUUACUGGGCGUAAAGCGCGCGUAGGUGGCUAAUUAAGUCAAAUGUGAAAUCCCCGAGCUUAACUUGGGAAUUGCAUUCGAUACUGGUUAGCUAGAGUAUGGGAGAGGAUGGUAGAAUUCCAGGUGUAGCGGUGAAAUGCGUAGAGAUCUGGAGGAAUACCGAUGGCGAAGGCAGCCAUCUGGCCUAAUACUGACACUGAGGUGCGAAAGCAUGGGGAGCAAACAGGAUUAGAUACCCUGGUAGUCCAUGCC